AGGUUAAGUGAAUAAGGGCGCACGGUGGAUGCCUUGGCACUAGGAGCCGAUGAAGGACGGGACUAACACCGAUAUGCUUUGGGGAGCUGUAAGUAAGCUAUGAUCCAGAGAUUUCCGAAUGGGGGAACCCAGCAUCUUUUAUAGGAUGUUACGUCUGCGCGAAUACAUAGCGCAGUCGAGGUAGACGCAGAGAACUGAAACAUCUAAGUACCUGCAGGAAGAGAAAGAAAAUUCGAUUCCCUGAGUAGCGGCGAGCGAAACGGGAAAAGCCCAAACCAACAAGCUUGCUUGUUGGGGUUGUAGGACUCCGAUAUGGUAGUCUAUUCAGAUAGUCGAAAUACUUGGAAAAGUAUGUCAAAGAGGGUAAAAACCCCGUAGGCGAAAUUUGGAUAACACCUAGGAGGAUCCUGAGUACGGCGGAACACGAG
Molecule: ribosomal RNA, 428 nt
Filed under: Listeria monocytogenes
Lineage: Bacteria; Bacillati; Bacillota; Bacilli; Caryophanales; Listeriaceae
Description: partial 23S ribosomal RNA
Rfam family: Bacterial large subunit ribosomal RNA
Source: RNAcentral